AAUUCUCGAAUAAUUCGCGAAUAAUUAUUUUUUUUUCAAAAAUUCAUUUUUUUUUUUUCGAAUUUUUUGAAAAAAUAUGUAUACGGCCUUUUAAUUCAGUUUUUCAAAAAUUCGUGAAUAAUUCGCGAAUAAUUCGCGAAUUUACUAACUAUGCUCUUUAGUGAAUAAUAAAAGCAAUAUCGUUAAUAAUACCUAAUUAUUGUACCUAGCUAUGAAUAGGGUUAAUUUCAUACAAAGUUUAAAAUGCCGUGGUACGAGGGUGUGCCGUUGUUUGUCUGGCACGGUACGGUAUCGGCACGCUUUCGUACCUACAUAUGGUACGCUUGCGUGCCGAUGGAUAAACACGACCUCAUAUUUGCACGCUUUGACACAAACUUAUUUUAAUUUUUUUGGUUCCAAUAAUCUUUUAUAAUGUUAUUUUAAAAUUUUUAAUCAAAUAAUUAUCAAUAUUUGCUAUAUAUAGCUUAUUAUGCUCAUCAAUUAAUAUAUUUAUAAAUUUUUCUGUAUGCAAAAUACAAUUAUAACUGAUGUAGAAUAAAAAUUUUUACAAGUUAUAAUUUUUAAAAUGCAAAGAUAUCUUUUUUUUUUUACUAUAUUACAAUCUUUCUUUUAUAAAAUACAAAAAAAAUAAUUUUAAAAAUUAUUUGAAAAUUUUAUUUUAAAAAGUAUUUUAAAAAAAUAUUUGUUAAUUAAUUUUUUUUAAAAAUUAGUAGAUCUAUCCAAAAAAUUAAGCAAUAAAUUAUAUGACAAAUAAAUUAAACAAAUUUAAGUAUCAAUCGAUUUAAUUUAGAUUUUAAUUUUAUCAGUAUUUUCAAUCUUUUAGCACAAAAAUAAAAUUAUAUUUGAUGUAGCUUAAAAUUUAUCUAUUGAGCUCAAUUUUGCUCACUUAAUUUGUCAAAAAAUUCGCGGUGCGAUAAAUUUUGAUAAAAUAAUUUGUGAAGAAAAAAUAGAUGUCUGUGAUGAAAGCAAAAAGUUCGGACAAAUCUUUUGUCCACAUAUUGAUAAACAAAAAAAUUAAAUUAUAAUUUUUUUGACUUACCCAAUAAGUAAAUUUUCGAUUUGCAAUGUCUUUGCGGAGGGUCAUGGGGUAUUUAUAAUAUUUUGGAUACCCCAAAGAACAGAAUAAAAAUAAAAAAAUAAAAAGUAAAAAAAAAAAGCAAAAAAAAAUUAGUACAGUGCCGGCACGGCACUGUGUUGUGGCACGCUGCGCCAUGUCGCUCUUUUUCCUGUGGCACAGCGCUGAGUGCCGCGGCACGGAGGGAGGUCCGAGACCCUCCCUGUACCGUGCCACCUUCUUGGUGGUACGAUACGUACCGCCCAGUGCCGUAUGGUACGGAACAACACUUUAAAUCUUAAUUUCAGACAUGUUCCUACAAAUAUAGUGAAUAACAAAUAUAUUCUUAGAAAGUUCAACUUUCAUAUGUUGUUCUUAUAAAAGUUAUAAUGUUUUUAAAUAUAUUCCUCUAAUUUGUUACCGUUAGAGAACUAUUAGAAAACCGUUUAUAUUUUUAAUUUUGCCAUCACAAAUUUAUCCCUCCAAAAGUCAUACUAAUAUAAUUAAAGAGAUAAAAAUGUCAAAAACUAAUUAGGGUUAACUAUUUAACCUAUGGUUAACUAACUUUUUCUAACGGAUUCCAACGGUAGUAACAUCUUGAUAUUAACUAUAAACAAAUAUAUUUGGUAGGUUUUCCUCACACCCUCCUACCAAGGGUAUCUUGGUAAUUUAUUAUUAGUUGAAUAUUAACAAUAAAUUUAUAUAAUUAAAUUAAAAAUAAUAAUAUAAAUUUUAAAACUUCAUAUGAAUAGAUGAACGCCCUACUAUCAACAAGAAUUAAAAUUUAUUAUUAGGUCUCAGAACUUUUCAAAAAAAAUUUAUAGUAUAACAAAAUUUUUCAAAUUUUUUUAAGAAAAAGCAGUACUUUUUCUCUUUUCAUACCAAAAUUCAUUUAUUCGCAAAAUUUUAAAAAACUUAUAGUCAACUAAUUAUUAUCUAGAUAUUAAUUAUAAUGUUAUAUAAUUAACUUAUAAAUAACUAUAAUGUUGAAAAUUAUUUUAAAUUAGUGCAAUUCUUAUUUUUAAUUUAAANGACAUUACUAUUUAAAUAUAAUAUUAUUUAUUCACUAAUUUAUUAAUUUAUUUAAUUAUAUUAGAAAAAUCUAUACGUGCAACGCACGUGCACUGACUAGUAUUUGAAAACAUAAGAAUUUUUGCAGGAACAAUAUAUGAAAGUUGAACUUUGUAGGGAUAUAUUUGUUAUUCACUAUAUCUGUAAAGACAUGUAUGAAAUUAACCCCUUAUAAAUAGUUGUAAAGUUUUAUUCGGUG
This 2324-nucleotide long non-coding RNA is filed under the name Ananas comosus (pineapple). Its description in RNAcentral is "long non-coding RNA (ACOM_LNC002320)". The record is from RNAcentral. Lineage: Eukaryota; Viridiplantae; Streptophyta; Magnoliopsida; Poales; Bromeliaceae.